RNAcentral lists this ribosomal RNA (2380 nucleotides) under Triticum aestivum (bread wheat). Its description in RNAcentral is "partial small subunit ribosomal RNA". The stretch from base 2202 to 2326 matches the Rfam family "MIR1120/MIR1122 microRNA precursor family". The record is from RNAcentral. Lineage: Eukaryota; Viridiplantae; Streptophyta; Magnoliopsida; Poales; Poaceae.
AUUUUCGUUCCCCCAAAAGUUCAAUUCGGAAACCCUAGGUAUCAGUCUCGCCGUCUCUCCCCUCCUCCGUCAGCAAUGGCGCCCGAUUUGGCGGCGGCGAAUCGCCGUGUGAUGGAGGAUUUGACAAAGAAAUAUGGAGUGACCCCCGAAACCAUCGACUAUGUGACCCUUGGCCCGGUGUGCGUCGAGCCCCGCCGCAUCGUGAAGGUGCCUCGUCCUCCGAUCCCUUCCGCCGGCACGGAGGGGCCGCCGAGGCGUCAGCCCCGGGCGGAGCCGAGCCCGCUCGAGGCAGCGCUGCUGGACACCGUUCACCGGCACCACCUCCAGGCGCUCGCCAUGAUGGACCGCGAGAUCGUCGGCCGGCACGCGCGCGGCAUGCUGCUCGCGGGCUACGCCUACGGCCUCCACGACCCCGUCUGCAACAUCCUCGCCAACUGUCUCUGGCACGAUGCGGUGUUCCCCGCUUCCUCGAGCCAGGAGGUUCGUCAGCCCAUGAUGCUGAGCUGCAAGGCCAUAUUCCGCCUGGCUCGCCGCUCCCUCGAUGCCCUCGUCGCCUUCAUGAGGGCGUACGCGCCCACCCUGUCUGCUGAAGAGGCCAUGUCCUACCUGAGCAGAAGCCAUGGCAACCUUCACCAUGCCGCCGUGCUUGUUGACAGAGAAGGUGUUUUCCACACAAACCGCAUGGACGACGCCUUCAGGGCUGCCAUUCUGGCAGCGCAUCUCCCUAGUGACGCAGCUCGCGAGGCUCAAUUCUUUUUCAUUGUCAACUGUGCUCCUACAGAUGCUUUUCUUGCAAAGCAUGGAAUUCAUGGUCACCCAUUAGCUUUUGGAUUAUCUGACCUCAGGCCGCAAAGCAAUUCAUCGCUUAUAGUGCUUGAAUUUGUCAAGUUGGUUGUUUCCAGUUUAGCUCUCACACAGCCGCCACCAAGCUCGCCGAGCCUAAGCCAAGGAGCAUAUAGAGCGUUAAGGAUCAAGAUGCAUGCCUUCAAGGGGGAUCAGGAGUUUUGCCUUGGUAUAGUAAACAUCGCACUCAAGAAACUUGCGUUCCAGUUUGGGGAACUUUAUCAGAUUCAUCUACUAUGCGGCAAAAGUUUGGUUACUUUGGUUCCUGACAGCUAUUAUCAUGUCAACUUCUUGGCAUCUCUUGAGAGCGAGCCUAAUCAGCCUAAGCUGUUUUUUGCUGAGAUUCGUGCUUCACUUCAAGAUGUGGAUGAUGUGACCUUGUGCUGUCCCGUGACAUUAUCAGGAAGAACUGGUGGAUGCUCUGCUUGUGAGUAUCUGGGAAUGAAACUCAUCCAUCCUGUAGAUGAGAAGUUCAAUGGACAAUGUGACUUCACUAAGGGUAGAGACCCACACAUUGCUGAACUUUUCAGGAAAGACCCUACCUCAGAGUUUGAUGUUCCACUGAUUGAUGAUUACAUUUUCGUUGAGCUUGAUCAACACCCUGAGGUUACAACCUUCCUGGAGACCACUUACUCCUAUAUGAGUGAUGAUCAAGUGGACCUGAGUCUUUUGUGGUUUGAAAAUUAUCUGCCUUAAGCUGUUCUAUGGUAUGCAUAUGAUGUUUGUACACUGUCCUUUCUUAUAUUAGACAAUGACCCCUCUGUGAUUAGUAUGCAUAUGAGUGUAUGACUUUUCUGUAUCUUUUAUGAGAUAAUAACCCCACUUUAUCUUUUGAUCUCCUGUUUCUGUAAAUGCACUAACUUGGCAUUUCAAUAUGUUCUGACUAGAUCUUUAUUUUUUUGUUCCAACCAUCAUCCUUUACAGAAGGUUGUGCUGAAUCAAAGUGGGUAUAUAAUCUGACUGACAAAGAAGGGUAGUACUGUAAAGUCACAAAUGUUUUCUACUUGUAACUGAAUACGGACCAGUGAUUUUUGAAUCUGAAGAUUCAGACAGUGCGUCAAUUCGAACAAAAAAGAUUCAUGCAGUGCAGAAAAAGCGGGCCAGAGGAAAUUCAGUCUUCAAAACAGAACAUGCAGAUAUUUUGAUAGAGCAAAGAAACCUUGUUUGGGUUAUUAGUUCAAACAAGAGAAAGAGAUUAGCAUUUAUUCGCAUAUGUAUUUUUGAGCAAACAUUUGCGUGCAAUCUUAUCCUUUUCUUUUCUUUAUUUAAAGGGAACAUGCUAUGCUAAAUACUGUCCACAGAUGGGUGGUGUACAAGGUGAUCUCGGUCUGGAGCUCUGGAAAGUACUACAGGAAGUCAAGAUACUCCCUCCGUCCGGAAAUACUUGUCGGAGAAAGGGAUGAAUCUAGACGUAUUUUAGUUAUAGGUACAUUCAAUUUUAUCCAUUUCUUCGACAAGUAUUUCGGGACGGAGGGAGUAGUUUAUUAGUACAAGCAUUGGUUCCAUUCGAAUAUUUUUGGUUAUGUUCCUAUUUCCC